CAGAACGAACGCUGGCGGCAGGCUUAACACAUGCAAGUCGAACGCCCCGCAAGGGGGAGUGGCAGACGGGUGAGUAACACGUGGGAACGUGCCCAAAGGUACGGAACAACUCCGGGAAACUGGAGCUAAUACCGUAUGUGCCCGAGAGGGGAAAGAUUUAUCGCCUUUGGAUCGGCCCGCGUCUAAUUAGCUAGUUGGUGGGGUAAUGGCCUACCAAGGCGACGAUCAGUAGCUGGUCUGAGAGGAUGGCCAGCCACACUGGGACUGAGACACGGCCCAGACUCCUACGGGAGGCAGCAGUGGGGAAUAUUGGACAAUGGGCGCAAGCCUGAUCCCAGCCAUGCCGCGUGAGUGAUGAAGGCCUUAGGGUUGUAAAGCUCUUUCGCCAGGGACGAUAAUGACGGUACCUGGAUAAGAAGCCCCGGCUAACUUCGUGCCAGCCGCCGC
This 447-nucleotide ribosomal RNA is filed under the name uncultured bacterium. RNAcentral's name for it is "bacterial SSU rRNA". It matches the Rfam family "Bacterial small subunit ribosomal RNA", at positions 25 to 518 of the family's 1533-position model. The record is from RNAcentral.